GUGCAUUAGCUAGUUGGUAAGGUAAACGGCUUACCAAGGCGAUGAUGCAUAGCCCGAGUUGAGAGACUGAUCGGGCCACAUUGGGGACUGAGACACGGGCCCAAAAACUCCUACGGGGAGGCAGCAGUAGGGAAUCUUCCACAAUGGACGCAAGUCUGAUGGAGCAACGCCGCGUGAGUGAAGUAAGGUUUUCGGAUCGUAAAGCUCUGUUGUUGGUGAAGAAGGAUAGAGGUAGUAACUGGCCUUUAUUUGACGGUAAUCAACCAGAAAGUCACGGCUAACUACGUGCCCAGCAGCCGCGGGUAAU
This 307-nucleotide ribosomal RNA is filed under the name uncultured Lactobacillus sp. Its description in RNAcentral is "bacterial SSU rRNA". It matches the Rfam family "Bacterial small subunit ribosomal RNA", at positions 236 to 524 of the family's 1533-position model. The record is from RNAcentral. Lineage: Bacteria; Bacillati; Bacillota; Bacilli; Lactobacillales; Lactobacillaceae.